This 398-nucleotide ribosomal RNA is filed under the name uncultured bacterium. RNAcentral describes it as "bacterial SSU rRNA". It matches the Rfam family "Bacterial small subunit ribosomal RNA", at positions 137 to 518 of the family's 1533-position model. The record is from RNAcentral.
CCCGGGAUAGCCCAGGGAAACCUGGAUUAAUACCGGAUGAGACGGGACCCGCGAUCGGCGGGACCCGGGAAAGGCGCUGCGGCGCCGCCGGGGGAUGAGUCUGCGUCCCAUUAGCUAGACGGCGGGGUAACGGCCCACCGUGGCGACGAUGGGUAGCCGGCCUGAGAGGGUGGACGGCCACAUUGGAACUGAGACACGGUCCAGACUCCUACGGGAGGCAGGCUAGCUAAGAAGUCUUCCGCAAUGGGCGAAAGCCUGACGGAGCGACGCCGCGUGAACGAAGAAGGCCGUGAGGUUGUAAAGUUCUUUUCGGGAGGGGGAACAACCGUGGCAGGGAAUGGCCGCGGGAUGACGUGAAUCCCGGAAUAAGCCCCGGCUAACUACGUGCCAGCAGCCGC